This is a non-coding RNA of Danio rerio (zebrafish), 940 nucleotides long. NCBI's taxonomy places the organism in Eukaryota, Metazoa, Chordata, Actinopteri, Cypriniformes, Danionidae. The record is from RefSeq and is a predicted model, not a curated record.
UAAAAAUGAAUAUUAUCCACGAGUAGGAGCUAACGUGUUUUCAGACUUAAGAAAACCUUACGAGCAUUAAACAACCUGUAAUGAAUGGGGCUCCUGCAUUGCCCGAUAGCAACUCGCCUGCACAACUAACUCGCCAUUCACUAUAUCUGACUCUGAAUAAAAAGGAAGGAGGAGGUUAGCACAGUAUGCAGACGGGACUACUGACAUAAAACUCAUCCUGCUGGAUGUUAAAUAGCCAGGUUAAUCUUGCGCACGAAUGGCUUGAAUGAGCAGAUCUUAUGCUGUUGGCUGUGCACCUUACUGUAACCUGACGUUGCAAACGCUGCGUGUAAGACACGUUUUCUGCACAAAUUCUGCAAAUCGGUAUCAUCUUUUAAAUGCUGUUUUUUAUUUAGGCAAUUUUACACAUUCACCGAACAACAUCUUCCUGUCCAAAUUAUGGCAAAGUUGACCGUGAGAAAGUCUUCCGCUGUCCCGAGGCUGUCAUGUCUCUGCGGCUCCUAGCGAAUCACAACUGGAGUGGCUGCACUCUCAGGACCACAUUUUUAGGACCGCAUCUUUAGGAACCUAUUUUUUUGUGACAGCGCCAACUGUCGGAUUGGAUCAUGGAUGCGCUAAUGGACGACACGGAUGACAAGGAAAGUAAGUAAAAUAAUUUAACAGACAGAUUGACAAACAACUGACGAAAGAAGAGAGACCAUUCAAUAGAGGACUUCUAGAUGUAUCCAUAAUCCUGAAACAGACCGUAUCAUGAGCAGAUGCAGUGGUGGUCAUGGAGAAGUGGAGAGCAUGAGACCCCAAGUGAUAAUGAAAGUUAUGAAAGACCUCAGCAACAGAUGAGUGCCCGCAUUGAUCCUGUGGUCCAGCCUGAAAACCCGCUGGUGACCUAUUCACACCUGCAGCUUCUCCACGAUGGACGCCCAGUGUUCUUUAGCCUCCA